GCUUUUAUAGGAUAGUUAAAAUCCAUUGGCCUUAGAAUCCAAAAACUCAAAACAUUUGAUAAAAGCA
RNAcentral lists this transfer RNA (67 nucleotides) under Meriones meridianus (mid-day jird). RNAcentral describes it as "tRNA-Leu". It matches the Rfam family "tRNA". Rfam says of the family: Transfer RNA (tRNA) molecules are approximately 80 nucleotides in length. Their secondary structure includes four short double-helical elements and three loops (D, anti-codon, and T loops). Lineage: Eukaryota; Metazoa; Chordata; Mammalia; Rodentia; Muridae. The record is from RNAcentral.